UGGGGAAUUUUGGACAAUGGGCGAAAGCCUGAUCCAGCAAUGCCGCGUGUGUGAAGAAGGCCUUCGGGUUGUAAAGCACUUUUGUCCGGAAAGAAAUCCUUGGCUCUAAUACAGUCGGGGGAUGACGGUACCGGAAGAAUAAGCACCGGCUAACUACGUGCCAGCAGCCGCGGUAAUACGUAGGGUGCAAGCGUUAAUCGGAAUUACUGGGCGUAAAGCGUGCGCAGGCGGUUUGCUAAGACCGAUGUGAAAUCCCCGGACUCAACCUGGGAACUGCAUUGGUGACUGGCAGGCUAGAGUAUGGCAGAGGGGGGUAGAAUUCCACGUGUAGCAGUGAAAUGCGUAGAGAUGUGGAGGAAUACCGAUGGCGAAGGCAGCCCCCUGGGCCAAUACUGACGCUCAUGCACGAAAAGCGUGGGGGAGCAAACAGGAUUAGAUACCCUGGUAGUCCCACGCCCUAAACGAUGUCAACUAGUUGUUGGGGAUUCAUUUCCUUAGUAACGUAGCUAACGCGUGAAGUUGACCGCCUGGGGAGUACGGUCGCAAGAUUAAAACUUAAAUGAAUUGACGGGGUCAUAGCUGUUUCCU
This 588-nucleotide ribosomal RNA is filed under the name uncultured bacterium. RNAcentral describes it as "partial 16S ribosomal RNA". It matches the Rfam family "Bacterial small subunit ribosomal RNA", at positions 355 to 1375 of the family's 1533-position model. The record is from RNAcentral.